GCCUUUUCUCAGUGCCCUGUCGUGGUUUCCACUUGUGGUUGUUAGAGAGCGUUUCUUGGUAAUAUUUUCAGUUUUUUUACUUUGGCUUAUGUUUUGACUUUCCCUACUUCUAGUAUCCUGACCUUUAGCUAGUAUAUUCCUUUGUCUUAUUCUGUAUCCAAUGUAGAAAGGUACAAAAUUCAACAAAAGGCAAUUUCUUAAACACACAGCCACAUCGCAACGUUUCGACCUACAUGGUCUUUAUCAAUUAUUCUGUAUCCCUGACCUCAGUUUGUUAUGUGACCAUUCUCUUUUACGAUAAGUCUGGCCAUUCUAAGGCACUGUAAAUGUUGUUUGUGUUAUCAUUGUUUUGCGUGUUGGGUCAUACAGUAGUCGUGACAGAUAAUUUCAAGAAAUUCCCAGAUUAACUAGCCGCCACAUUUGCCUGACCUUUCAGCUCCUGAUUACUUCUUGUGGGGAUAUCUGAAGGAGUGGGAGUACAUGAACAAAUCGUGUUCACUUGACCAGCU
Pelobates cultripes (western spadefoot toad) is the source of this 509-nucleotide non-coding RNA. Lineage: Eukaryota; Metazoa; Chordata; Amphibia; Anura; Pelobatidae. The record is from the annotation of a GenBank genome assembly.